Molecule: transfer RNA, 72 nt
Filed under: Bacillus subtilis subsp. subtilis str. BAB-1
Lineage: Bacteria; Bacillati; Bacillota; Bacilli; Caryophanales; Bacillaceae
Description: tRNA-Glu (TTC) (tRNA-Glu-TTC-5-1)
Rfam family: tRNA
About the family: Transfer RNA (tRNA) molecules are approximately 80 nucleotides in length. Their secondary structure includes four short double-helical elements and three loops (D, anti-codon, and T loops). Further hydrogen bonds mediate the characteristic L-shaped molecular structure. tRNAs have two regions of fundamental functional importance: the anti-codon, which is responsible for specific mRNA codon recognition, and the 3' end, to which the tRNAs corresponding amino acid is attached (by aminoacyl-tRNA synthetases). tRNAs cope with the degeneracy of the genetic code in two manners: having more than one tRNA (with a specific anti-codon) for a particular amino acid; and 'wobble' base-pairing, i.e. permitting non-standard base-pairing at the 3rd anti-codon position.
Source: RNAcentral
GGCCCGUUGGUCAAGCGGUUAAGACACCGCCCUUUCACGGCGGUAACACGGGUUCGAAUCCGGUACGGGUCA